GACGAACGCUGGCGGCGUGCUUAACACAUGCAAGUCGAACGGAAAGGCCCUGCUUUUGUGGGGUGCUCGAGUGGCGAACGGGUGAGUAACACGUGAGUAACCUGCCCUUGACUUUUGGAUAACUUCAGGAAACUGGGGCUAAUACCGGAUAGGAGCUCCUGCUUCAUGGUGGGGGUUGGAAAGUUUCGGCGGUUGGGGAUGGACUCGCGGCUUAUCAGCUUGUUGGUGGGGUAGUGGCUUACCAAGGCUUUGACGGGUAGCCGGCCUGAGAGGGUGACCGGCCACAUUGGGACUGAGAUACGGCCCAGACUCCUACGGGAGGCAGCAGUGGGGAAUAUUGCACAAUGGGCGGAAGCCUGAUGCAGCAACGCCGCGUGCGGGAUGACGGCCUUCGGGUUGUAAACCGCUUUCGCCUGUGACGAAGCGUGAGUGACGGUAAUGGGUAAAGAAGCACCGGCUAACUACGUG
This 468-nucleotide ribosomal RNA is filed under the name uncultured bacterium. RNAcentral's name for it is "partial 16S ribosomal RNA". It matches the Rfam family "Bacterial small subunit ribosomal RNA", at positions 28 to 507 of the family's 1533-position model. The record is from RNAcentral.